RNAcentral lists this ribosomal RNA (850 nucleotides) under uncultured bacterium. RNAcentral's name for it is "bacterial SSU rRNA". It matches the Rfam family "Bacterial small subunit ribosomal RNA", at positions 22 to 886 of the family's 1533-position model. The record is from RNAcentral.
GCUCAGAUGAAACGCUGGCGGCGUGCCUAAUACAUGUAAGUCGAACGGGAGACAGGUAGCAAUAUUUGUCUCUAGUGGCGAACGGGUGAGUAACGCGUGGAUGACCUGCCCCGAAGCGGGGGAUAACGGCUCGAAAGGGCUGCUAAUACCCCAUGUGGAUACGGGAGUUAGAGAACCGUAUGUAAAGGCGCAAGCCACUUCGGGAGGGAUCUGCGACCCAUCAGCUAGUUGGUAAGGUAACGGCCUACCAAGGCGACGACGGGUAGGGGGCCUGAGAGGGUGGCCCCCCACAAUGGAACUGAAACACGGUCCAUACACCUACGGGUGGCAGCAGUAGGGAAUAUUGCACAAUGGACGAAAGUCUGAUGCAGCAACGCCGCGUGUGCGAAGAAGGUCUUCGGAUCGUAAAGCACUUUUCGGGGAGAUGAGGAAGGACAGUAUCCCCGGAAUAAGUCUCGGCUAACUACGUGCCAGCAGCCGCGGUAAAACGUAGGAGGCAAGCGUUAUCCGAAUUUACUGGGCGUAAAGCGUGUGCAGGCGGCUCGAUAAGUUGGAUGUGAAAUCUCCUGGCUCAACUGGGAGAGGUCGUUCAAAACUAUCGGGCUCGAGGGCAGUAGAGGGAGGUGGAAUUCCGGGUGUAGUGGUGAAAUGCGUAGAUAUCCGGAGGAACACCAGUGGCGAAAGCGGCCUCCUGGACUGCACCUGACGCUCAUACACGAAAGCUAGGGGAGCGAACGGGAUUAGAAACCCCGGUAGUCCUAGCCGUAAACGAUGUGAACUGGGUGUCGGCGGGGUAAAAGCCGCCGGUGCCGAAGCCAACGCGAUAAGUUCACCGCCUGGGGACUACGGC